Lepus europaeus (European hare) is the source of this 104-nucleotide small nuclear RNA. The record is from RefSeq and is a predicted model, not a curated record. NCBI's taxonomy places the organism in Eukaryota, Metazoa, Chordata, Mammalia, Lagomorpha, Leporidae.
GUGCUCACUUCGGCAGCACAUAUACUAAAAUUGGAACGAUACAAAGAUUAGCAUGGCCCCUGUGCAAGGAUGACAUGCACAUUCGUGAAACAUUCUAUAUUUAA